UUUGUCUUUUGUUUCGGAAAUCCCUGCUAUGUGCUUGUCACAGGAGAGGCGCUCAACAAAUGUCAGCUGAAUGAAUCAAUAGAACCCACAGAAGUUCAAACAUCACAUUCAAGUAACAAGGUGUUUAGCUGGGCACAUGGCCACUCAAAAUGAAGACUUCAUUCUUGGCCUGCCUUGCGGGAAGAUAUGGCCAUGUGACUGAGAUCUGGCCUAUGGAAUGUGAAUAGAAAUAUAUUGCACCUCCCCCUUUCUUCUUCGUCUGUUCAUUUUAUCCAGUUUCUUGGAACUUGGAUCGGCUGCUGAAACUCCAUCUCAUAUUAUGAGGGGAAAGGCCAUAGUCCACUAGAGUUACUGGUAUAGGAAGCUGGAAAAAGCCUGUGCCCCCGAGGAAUUUUUUGAGCAAUGCUAUCAUGUCACUCCUGGAUUGACUGCCUACAAGACAUUUUUAAAUGUGAGAUAAAUAAACCUUCAUAUUUUUAAUCAACUAUUUUUUUUCUUCUUUUACUUGAAGCAGUAUUUUAUUCUAACUAAAACAAAUUAAGAACUAAAAUUUAGUAAACCUAAGGUAUUUCAUUGCAUCAAAAAACUUAUGAAAUAAUUUAACACUGUAAUUAUCGAACAUAAAUAGAUAAGCUAACAAAAGGAUAUGUAGGAUGACAAAAUGAACUCAUCCAACAGUUUCAAAAAUCAUGUUAGUCUUUAAUUUUUUAAAUUUGAACUAUGCUAUACAUAGAAUAUAAUACACAUAAUUGCACAUGUACAAUUUUUAAAAAUUAGGAUGAAAUGAGCACC
Molecule: long non-coding RNA, 792 nt
Filed under: Pongo abelii (Sumatran orangutan)
Lineage: Eukaryota; Metazoa; Chordata; Mammalia; Primates; Hominidae
Description: lincRNA
Source: RNAcentral